GUGAUUGUGGCUCAGUGGCAGAGCGCUUGCCUCACAUGUACGAGGCACUGGGUUUGAUCCUCAGCAACACA
This 71-nucleotide transfer RNA is filed under the name Marmota monax (woodchuck). It matches the Rfam family "tRNA". Rfam says of the family: Transfer RNA (tRNA) molecules are approximately 80 nucleotides in length. Their secondary structure includes four short double-helical elements and three loops (D, anti-codon, and T loops). Lineage: Eukaryota; Metazoa; Chordata; Mammalia; Rodentia; Sciuridae. The record is from Rfam by way of RNAcentral.